CCUGUUUAACAAAAACAUCUUUUCUUGUUAGUUUCUGAAGUAUGGCCUGCCCGCUGACGUAUUUUUAGUUGAAGGGCCGCGGUAUUUUGACCGUGCAAAGGUAGCAUAGUCAUUAGUUCUUUAAUUGUGAUCUGGUAUGAAUGGCUUGACGAGACAUGGGCUGUCUUGGGUGUAGAAUUUGUUGUUGAAUUUGGAGUUUAAGUUAAAAUUCUUAGAUGUUUUUAUGGGACGAGAAGACCCUAUAGAGUUUGACAUUUGAUUACGUAUUUCUUAUUGUUUGUUUUGAAUUUUUGCGUAUCUUUUGUUUUGUUGGGGUGAUGGGAGGAAUUUAUUUAACUCCUCUUUUAUGUGGUAUACUGAUUUGUAUUUGUUUUGAUCCCAUUUAUU
RNAcentral lists this ribosomal RNA (387 nucleotides) under Odontotermes boveni. RNAcentral's name for it is "partial large subunit ribosomal RNA". Lineage: Eukaryota; Metazoa; Arthropoda; Insecta; Blattodea; Termitidae. The record is from RNAcentral.